This 557-nucleotide ribosomal RNA is filed under the name Sardinella sp. 1 TY. RNAcentral describes it as "partial 16S ribosomal RNA". It matches the Rfam family "Bacterial large subunit ribosomal RNA", at positions 1852 to 2607 of the family's 2925-position model. The record is from RNAcentral. Lineage: Eukaryota; Metazoa; Chordata; Actinopteri; Clupeiformes; Clupeidae.
GUCCCGCCUGCCCUGUGACCAAAAGUUUAACGGCCGCGGUAUUUUAACCGUGCAAAGGUAGCGCAAUCAAUUGUCUUUUAAAUGGAGACCUGUAUGAAUGGCAUAACGAGGGUUUUACUGUCUCUUUUUUCUGGUCAAUGAAACUGAUCUGCCCGUGCAGAAGCGGGCAUAAUAACACAAGACGAGAAGACCCUAUGGAGCUUUAGACGCCCACCAACCGCGAAGAGCACCCCGACGACGGGCCACCAAAUAACGCGACCAUGGUAUAAACGUCUUCGGUUGGGGCGACCACGGGGGAACACAAAGCCCCCGAGAGGAUUGGGGAUCCAACCCUAAAACCAAGAGCCACAGCUCUAAGUCACAAAACAUUUGACCCAGAAUGAUCCGGCUCAUUGCCGAUCAACGGACCAAGUUACCCUAGGGAUAACAGCGCAAUCCUCUCCCAGAGUCCAUAUCGACGAGAGGGUUUACGACCUCGAUGUUGGAUCAGGACAUCCUAAUGGUGCAGCCGCUAUUAAGGGUUCGUUUGUUCAACGAUUAAAGUCCUACGUGAUCUG